UGGGGAAUAUUGGACAAUGGGGGCAACCCUGAUCCAGCAAUGCCGCGUGUGUGAAGAAGGUCUUCGGAUUGUAAAGCACUUUCGACGGGGACGAUGAUGACGGUACCCGUAGAAGAAGCCCCGGCUAACUUCGUGCCAGCAGCCGCGGUAAUACGAAGGGGGCUAGCGUUGCUCGGAAUGACUGGGCGUAAAGGGCGUGUAGGCGGUUUACACAGUCAGAUGUGAAAUCCCCGGGCUUAACCUGGGAGCUGCAUUUGAUACGUGUAGACUAGAGUGUGAGAGAGGGUUUGUGGAAUUCCCAGUGUAGAGGUGAAAUUCGUAGAUAUUGGGAAGAACACCGGUGGCGAAGGCGGCAACCUGGCUCAUGACUGACGCUGAGGCGCGAAAGCGUGGGGAGCAAACAGGUUAGAUACCCUGGUAGUCCACGCUGUAAACGAUGUGUGCUAGAUGUUGGGUAAC
RNAcentral lists this ribosomal RNA (459 nucleotides) under uncultured bacterium. RNAcentral's name for it is "partial 16S ribosomal RNA". It matches the Rfam family "Bacterial small subunit ribosomal RNA", at positions 355 to 831 of the family's 1533-position model. The record is from RNAcentral.